Molecule: long non-coding RNA, 470 nt
Organism: Canis lupus familiaris (dog)
Lineage: Eukaryota; Metazoa; Chordata; Mammalia; Carnivora; Canidae
Exons: 3
Source: RefSeq, a predicted model, not a curated record
UACAAGAUGGGAAGACAUCAAACCACCAGCAAAGAACCAUGACCAGGAAUCUAUAAAGCUAACUUUCCACUUAAAAUGAAGAGAAAAAAAGGAAUAGCUCUUAAAAAUGAUGCCAUGGGGAAAGGAAAUGGUAGUACAGUGACUCUAUCCUCUCCAGCUUAGCCGUGAAUGGCGCUAACACUGAAAUGUGAGUUGAGAGGGUGGAGGCCUCACAUGAGCCUCGAGGCUAAAUCAUCCACCCCAACCUGAUCGGUGGGGACGCCUGCCCUGGUUUUCUGGCUAACGGAAGAAAGAAAAAAGAAAGAUGAAAGAACUACCCAGUGGUCCUGGGAUACCAACUCUAAGAAAGAGAAGGGUCCCAGAAUUCUAUCCUGACUUCCCAGCAUCCACUUGUCACUGGGACAGAGCUUUUCUAAGUGGCCAAGACAAGAUCAAAGCCAAAGGAAACAAUGCUCUUCACAAAACCUGGC